UUCGCAAUGCCCGAAAGGGUGACGAAGCUACGCCGCGUGUGGGAAGAAGGCCUUCGGGUUGUAAACCACUGUCGGGAGUUAAGAAAUGUAAGGAUGUUAAUAGCGUCCUUACUUGACUAAGGCUCCGGAGGAAGCCACGGCUAACUCUGUGCCAGCAGCCGCGGUAAUACAGAGGCGGCAAGCGUUGUUCGGAAUUAUUGGGCGUAAAGAGCACGUAGGCGGCCAUGUAAGUCGGUUGUGAAAGCCUUCCGCUCAACGGGAGAACAGCAGUCGAUACUGCAUAGCUUGAGUGCGGGAGGGGAGAGCGGAACUUCUGGUGGGGCGGUGAAAUGCGUAGAUAUCAGAAGGAACGCCGGCGGCGAAAGCGACUCUCUGGCCCGUAACUGACGCUGAGUGUGCGAAAGCUAGGGGAGCAAACGGGAUUAGAUACCCCGGUAGUCCUAGCCGUAAACGAUGGGCACUAAGUAGAGGGGUUUU
RNAcentral lists this ribosomal RNA (477 nucleotides) under uncultured bacterium. Its description in RNAcentral is "bacterial SSU rRNA". It matches the Rfam family "Bacterial small subunit ribosomal RNA", at positions 365 to 832 of the family's 1533-position model. The record is from RNAcentral.